This 67-nucleotide transfer RNA is filed under the name Hylaeus dilatatus. Its description in RNAcentral is "tRNA-Ile". The record is from RNAcentral. Lineage: Eukaryota; Metazoa; Arthropoda; Insecta; Hymenoptera; Colletidae.
AGUAAUAUGCCUGAUAAAAGGAAUAUUUUGAUGAAAUAAAAAUGUAAUUUUAAUUUUACUAUUACUA